Molecule: ribosomal RNA, 99 nt
Filed under: Paullicorticium ansatum
Lineage: Eukaryota; Fungi; Basidiomycota; Agaricomycetes; Cantharellales; Hydnaceae
Description: partial 5.8S ribosomal RNA
Rfam family: 5.8S ribosomal RNA
About the family: 5.8S ribosomal RNA (5.8S rRNA) is a component of the large subunit of the eukaryotic ribosome. It is transcribed by RNA polymerase I as part of the 45S precursor that also contains 18S and 28S rRNA.
Source: RNAcentral
GAUAAGUAAUGUGARUUGCAGAAUCCAGUGAAUCAUCGAAUCUUUGAACGCAUCUUGCGCUCUUUGGUAUUCCGAAGAGCAUGCCUGUUUGAGUGUUGU